RNAcentral lists this unclassified non-coding RNA (226 nucleotides) under Hevea brasiliensis (rubber tree). The record is from RNAcentral. Lineage: Eukaryota; Viridiplantae; Streptophyta; Magnoliopsida; Malpighiales; Euphorbiaceae.
GCCUGCUCAACUAAGGAAAACACUUGAGAAACCAGAGGAAAAUAUUCUAGAGGGCCAAAGGUCAAAAUCCUUCAAGCAAAAGAGAGAGGAAGAGAGAAAAUCAUCCGAAGCUAGUGGCAAUACAAGAGCAUGGAAUAGUUUAUUCAUGCGCCCUGAUACAGUUGUUGAAAAUAUUGCUAGAAAAUAUGGUGUCAGUAAGGGUGAGUUACUGGACGGGGAGGCCGAU